RNAcentral lists this ribosomal RNA (624 nucleotides) under uncultured Pseudomonadota bacterium. RNAcentral's name for it is "bacterial SSU rRNA". It matches the Rfam family "Bacterial small subunit ribosomal RNA", at positions 71 to 688 of the family's 1533-position model. The record is from RNAcentral. Lineage: Bacteria; Pseudomonadati; Pseudomonadota.
GGAAGAAGCUUGCUUCUUUGCGUGACGAGUGGCGGACGGGUGAGUAAUGUCUGGGAAACUGCCUGAUGGAGGGGGAUAACUACUGGAAACGGUAGCUAAUACCGCAUAACGUCGCAAGACCAAAGAGGGGGACCUUCGGGCCUCUUGCCAUCGGAUGUGCCCAGAUGGGAUUAACUAGUAGGUGGGGUAACGGCUCACCUAGGCGACGAUCCCUAGCUGGUCUGAGAGGAUGACCAGCCACACUGGAACUGAGACACGGUCCAGACUCCUACGGGAGGCAGCAGUGGGGAAUAUUGCACAAUGGGCGCAAGCCUGAUGCAGCCAUGCCGCGUGUAUGAAGAAGGCCUUCGGGUUGUAAAGUACUUUCAGCGGGGAGGAAGGGAGUAAAGUUAAUACCUUUGCUCAUUGACGUUACCCGCAGAAGAAGCACCGGCUAACUCCGUGCCAGCAGCCGCGGUAAUACGGAGGGUGCAAGCGUUAAUCGGAAUUACUGGGCGUAAAGCGCACGCAGUCGGUUUGUUAAGUCAGAUGUGAAAUCCCCGGGCUCAACCUGGGAACUGCAUCUGAUACUGGCAAGCUUGAGUCUCGUAGAGGGGGGUAGAUUCCAGGUGUAGCGGUGAAAUG